AACGAACGCUGGCGGCAGGCUUAACACAUGCAAGUCGAACGCACCGCAAGGUGAGUGGCAGACGGGUGAGUAACGCGUGGGAACCUUCCCUUUGGUACGGAAUAACUUCGGGAAACCGGAGCUAAUACCGUAUAUCUCCUCCGGGAGAAAGAUUUAUCGCCAAAGGAUGGGCCCGCGUUGGAUUAGCUAGUUGGUAGGGUAAUGGCCUACCAAGGCAACGAUCCAUAGUUGGUCUGAGAGGAUGAUCAGCCACACUGGGACUGGAGACGACCGGCCCAGACUCCGUACGGGAGGCACG
Molecule: ribosomal RNA, 298 nt
Filed under: uncultured Pseudomonadota bacterium
Lineage: Bacteria; Pseudomonadati; Pseudomonadota
Description: uncultured proteobacterium partial 16S ribosomal RNA
Rfam family: Bacterial small subunit ribosomal RNA
Source: RNAcentral